Molecule: non-coding RNA, 1968 nt
Organism: Zootoca vivipara (common lizard)
Lineage: Eukaryota; Metazoa; Chordata; Lepidosauria; Squamata; Lacertidae
Source: RefSeq, a predicted model, not a curated record
UUUUUUUGCUCGCUCACUUGCUCUGUAGCGCUACGGAUCUGCCUGCGGUCGGGCGCCUGCCUGCCUUAUAUCUCGCCGGCCGCCUGCAUAGCUAAUGAGAUGCAAAUGAGCAGCCCCCCAAUCUGGCGAGAGCGGCCACAAAGGAACCACUUUUCCAAGCCCUCCUCUCAAUGGAUCGCCAAAUGGGGACGGUCACACACAAGAAACCCACGACCGACCUCUCUUCCACUCACGUCUGAACGUUAUAAGCGCAGGAGAAACUCAGGCUCCCGCAGGAAAACAAGCCGAGACUCAGAACGUCUUAAAAGGAAUUCUGGUUGCCUCAUAUGCUUCAGGAAAAGAAGAGCGAUCCAAAGCUGACAUUGGAUACUGACACAAAGGCAGGUGAGAAGGAGACUAUGUGUUUUGUUGGAGAUUUAAGUUGACUGAGAGGUUGGUGGGCAGACACAUUUCUAUCCCACUCUUUCCCCAAGGGACUUAAGGGUGACAUAUGUGGGAUUCCUUUCCCCUUCCCAACAACCUUGAGAGGUAGGUUAGACUGAGCUAAUAACAGACUCAAGGCUAUUUGGCCAUCUUUAUAUUUCAGCAGGAAUUUGAACCUGCUGUUGCUGAGGUAUCCCACAAGACAAGACAAGCUAACCAACAGAGAACUAACAUGAAAGAGAAUACUAGUGUAAAGCAUAAGCACAGCUGCUGGAGCACGAAACCUGAAUGCAGUAAAUAAUUGAACGAGUCACACAAGGUGUGUGCGAGUUUUCACAGACACAGGCAGCAAAUUCUCAGCUACAGAGACACACAAGGCUUUUUUCUUUUCUUUUUGCAGUGUAUGUAUUCUUAAAUACACUAGUGGAAAUAAUCUCACUGACCAUGACCUGUUUAGAACUGGCACACAUGUCACCUGGGCAGUUUAAGGGGAGGAAGGAGAUGAUGACGUAUCAUUUUGAAACAAUCGGUUGAAAAACUUGAAUGCUCCCAUUUAAAUCCAGAGUGACGUUUAGAUGCAUCUUUCUCCAGAUGUAUAUUCAUCACACACAUUAUGGUUUUAUACGGUUUAUUCUGGAUCUGGUUGGUUUGCACAUGCGAGAGCUCCUCUCUCCUUCGGCCCAGUCCCACAAACUGGAAGAAAAUUGCAAUAAUGGUGCUGCAGCUUUUUGCUUCCAGGAAGCUGCUUAUAGAUUUCCAGAAGUCAUUCCAACUUCUGGACAGCAACCAAGAGGAAUGGACAGGUGUGGACAAGAGGACAGUAAGAUGCUGUUCCAUAAUGCCCUGCCUUCCCCCAUUCCUCUGUACUGCACUUUCUUUGGGAACCACAAAUGAGAUGAAGUACAAUGUGUAUGUGCAUAUAUCACCACCAGCUUGAGCUAUUUAACCAAUGCAUUCUCUUGCCAACCGUCAGGCUGGAGUGCAAUCUACUUUUUUUAUUUUUUUUAAAGACUUCUCAAGCCUCAUUCCCAUUCAUGUCUUGCGCAAGAGAAGCUCCCUAUAGUUUUUUCUAAGGCAUUUGCCAACAUUGUGAGUGAGGAGGGAGGGAGAGAAGGAGCGGGUGAUGGAAUUCUCCCUUUGCUGGAUUUGCAGAUUUAGGAUCCACUGUAGAUUGAGCUUGGAAAGGAGAGCGGGGAGGGGGGAUUUCGCUCAUUUACAUUCCUGUUUUGGAAGGAGUGGGAAUCAAAAGUUAAACACGCGCAGCGGCUGAAACCCUUCCCUUUCCCCUGGAUUGCCCCACCCUUCCCCAAAGGACCCCCAAAAUCUCUCCGAAUCUUUUUAACCACCCUCCCUUCGCUCUCAAGGAUUUGUUAAACUGACGCGGCGCAGAUUUCUCGAUUAGGCCCGCAAAGCGGAACUGAAAGGCGUCGUAAAAUCCGUCAGAAUCCUGCCCAAAGCGCUUAUUCUCUUCCAACUUAAUUUAUGCCACGCGAUUCUGUAUCGGGGAAAUCAAGCAGAAAGUUCCUUUUCUUGACUCUCCCCUCC